This 29-nucleotide non-coding RNA is filed under the name Mus musculus (house mouse). Lineage: Eukaryota; Metazoa; Chordata; Mammalia; Rodentia; Muridae. The record is from RNAcentral.
UNGUGCUGUUCUUUAUUGCCUCAAUUUCA